This 143-nucleotide unclassified non-coding RNA is filed under the name Paradevriesia pseudoamericana. RNAcentral describes it as "partial internal transcribed spacer 2". The record is from RNAcentral. RNAcentral also lists the same sequence under 1 other name. Lineage: Eukaryota; Fungi; Ascomycota; Dothideomycetes; Capnodiales; Paradevriesiaceae.
CACCCCUCAAGCCUGGCUUGGUAUUGGGCGACGGCAGUCUGCCGCGCCUCGAAGUGAUCGGCUGGACGGUUUGAAUCUCAGCGUUGUGGUUUCAUCAAUUCGCUGGCGAGGACGACCGGACGCGCCGUUAAACCUCAAUCACA